GGAGAGGUGCCGGAGCGGUCGAACGGGGCGGUCUCGAAAACCGUUGUGGGUUUGCGCCCACCCAGGGUUCGAAUCCCUGUCUCUCCG
This 87-nucleotide transfer RNA is filed under the name Allgaiera indica. RNAcentral describes it as "Defluviimonas indica tRNA_Ser_CGA". It matches the Rfam family "tRNA". Rfam says of the family: Transfer RNA (tRNA) molecules are approximately 80 nucleotides in length. Their secondary structure includes four short double-helical elements and three loops (D, anti-codon, and T loops). Lineage: Bacteria; Pseudomonadati; Pseudomonadota; Alphaproteobacteria; Rhodobacterales; Paracoccaceae. The record is from RNAcentral. RNAcentral also lists the same sequence under 2 other names.